This 21-nucleotide non-coding RNA is filed under the name Caenorhabditis elegans. Lineage: Eukaryota; Metazoa; Nematoda; Chromadorea; Rhabditida; Rhabditidae. The record is from RNAcentral.
UCCGUCUACUGUCAAUCAGUA